This 451-nucleotide ribosomal RNA is filed under the name uncultured bacterium. RNAcentral describes it as "partial 16S ribosomal RNA". It matches the Rfam family "Bacterial small subunit ribosomal RNA", at positions 29 to 523 of the family's 1533-position model. The record is from RNAcentral.
AACGAACGCUGGCGGCAGGCUUAGCACAUGCAAGUCGAACGGGUGUAGCAAUACAUCAGUGGCGCACGGGUGAGUAACGCGUGGGAACAUGCCCUUGAGUACGGAACAACCUCGGGAAACUGAGGCUAAUACCGUAUAAUGUCUUCGGACCAAAGAUUUAUCGCUCAAGGAUUGGCCCGCGUUAGAUUAGCUAGUUGGUGAGGUAACGGCUCACCAAGGCGACGAUCUAUAGCUGGUCUGAGAGGAUGACCAGCCACACUGGGACUGAGACACGGCCCAGACUCCUACGGGAGGCAGCAGUGAGGAAUAUUGGACAAUGGAGGAAACUCUGAUCCAGCCAUGCCGCGUGAGUGAUGAAGGCCUUCGGGUUGUAAAGCUCUUUUACCCCUGACGAUAAUGACGGUAAGGGGAGAAAAAGCCCCGGCUAACUACGUGCCAGCCGCCGCGGUAA